AUAGACUUUAGCUCAGAAGGGAGAGCACUAAUAAUAUAGAGGUCACGGGUUCGAUUCCCGUAAGUCAUA
This 69-nucleotide transfer RNA is filed under the name Herbiconiux daphne. RNAcentral's name for it is "tRNA-OTHER". It matches the Rfam family "tRNA". Rfam says of the family: Transfer RNA (tRNA) molecules are approximately 80 nucleotides in length. Their secondary structure includes four short double-helical elements and three loops (D, anti-codon, and T loops). Further hydrogen bonds mediate the characteristic L-shaped molecular structure. tRNAs have two regions of fundamental functional importance: the anti-codon, which is responsible for specific mRNA codon recognition, and the 3' end, to which the tRNAs corresponding amino acid is attached (by aminoacyl-tRNA synthetases). tRNAs cope with the degeneracy of the genetic code in two manners: having more than one tRNA (with a specific anti-codon) for a particular amino acid; and 'wobble' base-pairing, i.e. permitting non-standard base-pairing at the 3rd anti-codon position. Lineage: Bacteria; Bacillati; Actinomycetota; Actinomycetes; Micrococcales; Microbacteriaceae. The record is from RNAcentral.